GGAAGAAUGAUGCAUAUGAAGGUCAAUACUCACUGUUUACCCCGAGGUUAUUGAUUUCAGCUUUAACAAUAGCAUUGAUGCUGCUAUGAAUUCACAAAACUAAGUUGACCUAUCAGGAGUGUCUUCAAUUAUAUUCAUGUGGCUUAAAUAUCGGGUGAGAUUUUGACCCUAGAGAGAGAGGGGUAUUUUGCCGAAGAAUGCACACUGGCAGGAAGGCAUCCUUUAUGUUGGAAGAUCGUCCCUGUUGUGUAGGGUAGAGGAGAUGAAAGAAAGUCAAAAGGUUAAUUAAGCACAGGAAAUUUUAGCUCUGCCUUGUAAGUGAGAAGCAGAAAAAGCCUUAAUGAGAGGGAAUUAUCAUACCAACCAUGAGUUCUAAUUGCAAACUCUAGAAUAUGUUCUUCUGACUCUGGAAUUUUUAGGGGGUUCUUCUGAAAUUUUUGUGAUGUUGAAAAAAUAUUUGCAUGUGUUUAGCUAUUAUUCUUGUGGUUAGCUUGAAUGCUUGACUGACUUUUAUAUGCAAACAUCAGAUUAAGCAAUUAUAGAUUGCACUUCUAAAUCGUGUUUUCUUAAGGUAUGCGACUGCUAAAUAUGUUUUCUAGGAUAAAUCCCUAUCUCACCUAUGAUAAGAAACGUCAAGAAGAGCGUUUUUCUAGGCCUUCAAAAAGGUCUCCUGGCACUUGGCCUCAUCUCUUUCAAACAAUUGUGCUAUGAGAAGACAAAGAAAACAACUUACAAUACAACAGAAAGCUGAAGCACCCAGUUUAGCUACCUGAAGAUAUUAUAAAGACUCCAGAGAUUACAGGUGAGAAAUCUUACAAGAAAGUUAGAUUUUCAUUUUCCUUGUGAUGAUUUCAACAUUUUAAGCUCAUUGUUUCUCCACUACAGUAAAUAUAAAGACAGGAUAUUCCAGAAGCAGAACUUUAUCUGACUGUUGUAGAGAUGUUCUAGAGGGACCUUGUUCAUGUUUGUUAGAAAGAAGUCUUGAAAUCUCAGACACAUUGUGAAUCAUAUGCUUAAGGAAAAGAAAAAACAAAAUGAAAAAAAACAACAAAACAAAAAAAAACACAGCUCUGUUGCCUCCUCUCCUGUGAGCUUAUUUCCAUCCUUUCUCAUUUGUUAGCUCUUUUUCCCCUUCAUCUUGCAAUUGGCUUCAAAUAAUCCCUGCUAGUAAUGCUUCUCCAUGACCUGUCUUCUGGUUUUACCAGCCCCAUGUCAGGAACUGUUUCGUAGAUGUCUUCACAGCUUUUGCAAGAGGUGAAAAAUAG
RNAcentral lists this long non-coding RNA (1265 nucleotides) under Anser brachyrhynchus (Pink-footed goose). Its description in RNAcentral is "lncRNA (ENSABRG00000017793.1)". The record is from RNAcentral. Lineage: Eukaryota; Metazoa; Chordata; Aves; Anseriformes; Anatidae.